GCGGAUAAGUGUCCGUUGGAAUGUAGCCUAUAAUAGGCUGAACCAUAAA
This 49-nucleotide non-coding RNA is filed under the name unclassified sequences. RNAcentral's name for it is "eL15-Euryarchaeota ribosomal protein leader". It matches the Rfam family "eL15-Euryarchaeota ribosomal protein leader". The record is from RNAcentral.